CGGGUGAGUAAUGUCUGGGAAACUGCCUGAUGGAGGGGGAUAACUACUGGAAACGGUAGCUAAUACCGCAUAACGUCGCAAGACCAAAGAGGGGGACCUUCGGGCCUCAUGCCAUAAGAUGUGCCCAGAUGGGAUUAGCUAGUAGGUGGGGUAACGGCUCACCUAGGCGACGAUCCCUAGCUGGUCUGAGAGGAUGACCAGCCACACUGGAACUGAGACACGGUCCAG
RNAcentral lists this ribosomal RNA (228 nucleotides) under uncultured bacterium. RNAcentral describes it as "partial 16S ribosomal RNA". It matches the Rfam family "Bacterial small subunit ribosomal RNA", at positions 103 to 334 of the family's 1533-position model. The record is from RNAcentral.